UGAGGAAUAUUGGUCAAUGGACGUAAGUCUGAACCAGCCAAGUAGCGUGCAGGAUGAAGGCCCUCCGGGUCGUAAACUGCUUUUGGGUGAGGGUAAAAGGCGGGACGUGUCCUGCGUAUUGCAAGUAUCACCCGAAUAAGGACCGGCUAAUUCCGUGCCAGCAGCCGCGGUAAUACGGAAGGUCCGGGCGUUAUCCGGAUUUAUUGGGUUUAAAGGGAGCGCAGGCGGUUCUUCAAGUCAGCUGUGAAAACGCGGGGCUCAACCUCGCGCCUGCAGUUGAUACUGUUGAACUUGAGUGCACACAGGGAUGUUGGAAUUCAUGGUGUAGCGGUGAAAUGCUUAGAUAUCAUGAAGAACUCCGAUCGCGAAGGCAUAUGUCCGGUGUGUUACUGACGCUGAGGCUCGAAAGCGCGGGUAUCGAACAGG
RNAcentral lists this ribosomal RNA (426 nucleotides) under uncultured bacterium. RNAcentral's name for it is "bacterial SSU rRNA". It matches the Rfam family "Bacterial small subunit ribosomal RNA", at positions 355 to 776 of the family's 1533-position model. RNAcentral also lists the same sequence under 1 other name. The record is from RNAcentral.